Molecule: long non-coding RNA, 8605 nt
Organism: Eriocheir sinensis (Chinese mitten crab)
Lineage: Eukaryota; Metazoa; Arthropoda; Malacostraca; Decapoda; Varunidae
Exons: 6
Source: RefSeq, a predicted model, not a curated record
CCUCUCCCCUCUCUCUCUUUCUUCCCCUCAUCCCUCUCCCCCAGCUGCUCCCUCUCUCCCUCUGACCCUCUCUCUCUUUAGCUCAGUUCUCCUUUGGGUUUCGUGGCGAGCAGACGUGUGUGGAACGGAGCUACCCCUUGGAUCUUUGUGUAAGCGCCCCGCCCCUGGUCUCGACGCACCCCGCCUUCAGACCCGGAGGACAAGAAUAAUUAAUCAACAAACACCCACACCGGCCACACCUGUCAAUGGCCUAACGGAGCCCCCGCACACCUGCCGAGCCACACCCCUGCACUCCAGCCGGCCCCCACACCUGCACACACCUGCCCCGGAUACCUGCCACGCUGCUCCACCCCUGCAACAUGUCCAUCGUGACGGUGUUAGGAAGCAUGGGCACGGGGGGGCGAAUCCCGGGCAAAGCGAAUGUCUAUGGCUUCGGAGGGUUACCGCCAUCGUUAAAGGAGAAAAAACUGAAGGAGGCAAAACUACAGAACUCUCUCUCCAAACCUCACACCUCCUCCUCCUCCUCCUCUCACACCUCCUCCCAUACCUCCUCCUCCACCUCCUCCUCCUCACACACCACCACAACCUCCAUCAAACACACAACCACUGCAGCCUCCUCGACCUCCACUUCCACCUCAACCACACAUACCUCCACCACCACAGCCGCGCCUUCCACCACUUACUGUUGCUCCUCCACCUCCUCCUACUCGUCCUCCUGCCCCUCCUCCUCCUCCUCUUCGUCCUCCUCCUCCUCGUACUCCACCACGGCGCCCCUCCACACCACCACUACCACCACCACCAGCGACGUGAGGAGGAGAACGGUGUGUGAAUGAGACAACGUGAGUGAGAAAACGUGCUGCUGGUAAGGGUAAGGAGGUCCACCGUGCCUGGCCAUUCACAGGGACUGAAGGAAGGGCUGGAGCGUCGCCCUUAUAUACCCAGGGCACUCCACCCCCGCCCCCACCCAGGCCCACACGCACAAACCCGCCAAUCCGGUGCCAGGUGGGGGAACGGAGGGCCAAUCAGCGAGCAGCGUUUCCCUAAGUCCCGCCCCUCCCUGAGUCCCUGGGUGGCUGAAUGAAAUUUGAAUCAAAGGUGGCCCAGACGUGUUGUGGUUGGUUUUGUGAAGUGUUUUUGGAUACGGUUUGAUUUUUGUGUUUUGUUUUAUAUUUUUCGUGGCUUCGGUUUCAUUUUGAUUUUUACUUGUCUUGUCGGUGGUGAGACGAAGUGCUGUUCUUGAAAAUGUUUGAAAAUGUUUUUGAAAAAGUUCUUGAAUAUAAUAUCUUGAGAAAUGUUGAAAAUAUUGAAAAAAAAGUAGAUUUUUUUGGAAAUGUUGAAUUUUUUUGAAAAUCUCAGAAAACGUGGAAAAUGUUUGAAACGUUUUAGGAAAUUUUGGAAAUGUUGAGUAUCUUGAAAACGUUAGAAAUCUUGAUAAAUGUUGAAAUAUGUUGCAAAUCUUGAAAAUGUUCUCGAAAAGGUUUGGAAAUCUUUAAAUGAUGCAAAUAUAACAUUGAAAACCUUGCAAUGUACUAAAAAAAGUCUUGGAGUUUUUAUUAUUCUCUUAUUUGUUAUUUAUCUGUUGUGGAAACUUUAUCAACACCAAAGAGUGAGAUUUCAAGAGCCAAAGAAGGAAAAAAAGUUAAUGGAAGAAAAGAUGAAAAGACAAACAUGAAGAAAAUAACAAUGGGAGGAAGAUAAAUAUAACCGUCAAGAAAAUGAGAGAAAAGAAAACAAAAAGGAGAAAGUAAUGAUGUAAAGGAAAAUAUGUAAACAACAAAAGGGAAAGAUAAAGAAGAAAGAAGAUAAGAGAAUUGUGAUACCAGUGAAACGGAAAAAGAUAAAAUGAAGAAGAUAGUAAUGGAAGAAAAAUAUGUCAACAACAGAAGGGAAAGAUAAAGAAGAAAGAAGAUAAGAGAAUUGUGAUACCAGUGAAACGGAAGAAGACAAAAUGGAGAAAAUAGUAAUGGAAGAAAAAUAUGUCAACAACAGAAGGGAAAGAUAAAGAAGAAAGAAGAUAAGAUAACUGUGAUACCAGUGAAACGGAAGAAGACAAAAUGAAGAAAAUAGUAAUGGAGGGAAAGUAUGUCAACAAUAGCGAGGAGAGAGAAAGAAGGAGAUCAUAAGAGCAUUGUGAUACCAGUGACACGCAGGGAGACUCAAACACAUCUUUUUGAAUAAUGCAAGUAACAACAACAAGAAAAAAUAAUGAGAUAAUAAUGCAAUUGCUCCGCCCAUCCUAAAAAUUAAGGUUAUAUAAGAAAACUGUGACCGGAAAAAAAGUUAAAAAAAAAGAAGAAUGUGAGAAAACCAAAUUAAAGACGAAAUGAAAGGUGACGAUCAAAAUUUUCUUACUGAUUAAAAAAAUGGAAAGGAAGAGGAACAAUAUAUAAAUAAAAAGGAACACAAAGAAAAGAAAUACUCAUUUUUUUCUUUCUAAUCUCAAAAAAUGAAAAGAAAAUGAAAGAUGAAAAGAAAAAUGAAGAUCCAUAUUUUUCUUACCAAUCUCACAAAUGGAAAACCUAAACAAAAUCAAACAAGAAAAGAAAAUGAAGACAAACUCAUUUUCUUCAACGCAUCUCAGGAACUGGAACCAACAAAAAAUGAAAUGAAAAGAAAGAUAAAUAUUCUUACUAAAAAUAUAACAACAACAUGAAAAGAAAUAAAAAAAUGAAACGAAAACAACAACAAAAAUUCCUCAGAUUGAAAAUAUGAGAGAAAAAGAAAGAAAAAAACUUCACACUUAAAAUGAGACAUAAGCAGAAAAAAAGACAUUUCCUAAUAAUAAAAAAACAAGAAAACAAAAGACAGUGAAAAAGAAAACAAAACAAAACAACUUCACACUUAAAAUAUGAGUAAAAAAAAAGCAAGAAAAGACACAACAUUUCCUAAUUAUAAAAAACAAGAAAAUAAGACAAGGAAGAAAAAUAAUAAUAAAAGAAAAACAAAACAAACAACUUCACACGCUUAAAAAAAUAAAACCAUAUUCCAUCCUGUCUCAAAAAUCAAAAAAAUUAAAACAAAAAAAAAACGUAAGUAAACCAGUCAGUCAAUCACACAUGUACGUCUAAUAAAUAAUAGUCAUACGUACACAUGUAAGUAAAUAAGUAGAUGCCAGCAGAGUUACGUACACACACGCACAUAAGAAGUAAACGUACAUAUCUCUUAAAGCUUUGUACAUCAGCUUGUUUGUAUUUAUUUAUUAGUUUGUUUGUUCGUUUGUUUGAUUGUUAGUCAGCACAAGCGAGGCGCAGAAGAAGAAGAAGAAGAAGAAGAAGAAAAAGAAGAAGAAGAAAGAAAGAAAGAAAGCCAGCACGAUUUUCUCACACACACACAAAACAGAAAAAGAAAGAAAAAGAAAGAAAAAGAAGUGAAUAAAUGAAAGCAUGAGUAAGAAAGAUAAAAAUAAAUAAGAAAAUAAGAAAGAAAAUAAAGAAAAUGCAAAUACACGAUCCCCGUUUUGGCGCUACAAGAAUAUGAAAAAAAAAAUCAAAGUUAAAAAUCAUAAAAAAAAUUCAAGAGAAACAGGUUUUGGUAAUUUCUGAAACUGCAUCUCCUUCCUCUUUCCUCUUGCCACUGAGAGAGAAAGAAAAGGAGGAAAUUAAAUGAAGAAAAGUAAGAAAAGAUGAAAGGAAAAUAAAUGAGGAAAGAAGAGAAAGAGGAAGAAGGGGUGACAUAAAAAUAGAGUGGAAAGAAAGAGAAAAGGAGGAAAAUAAAUUAAGGAAAGUGAAGAAAAGAUGAAAGGAAAAUUUAUGAGGAAAGAAGAGAAAGGGGAAGAAGGGAUAACAUGAAAACCGAGAAAAGAAAUUGAAGGAAUAUACAAUGAAGAGGAGAGAAAGGAAAAAAAAACAGAAGAAAAGCAGGAAGAUAAUAAAACGUAGUACUCAAAAAGACAAACCUACAGAAAGAUGAAGAAAAGAAAGAGAAAAAAUAGAGGAAGGAAGAGGUAGAAUGGAAGAAAAAACAAAUGAAAGAGAAGAAAGGAAUAAGAUAACAGAAGGAAGAAAUGAAGUAUAAGAAGCAGUAUUCAGUGUUAUACCCAAAUAAAAAAAAGAAAGAAAAAGCGAAGAAAGAAGAAAAAAAAAGAGGAAGGAAGAAGUAACAUAGCAGUAUUCAGAAAGCCAAGCCAAAGCCCGUUUUCUAUAAUGCCAUUGCUCAAGGGGAAACUGUGUCAAACUAAGAAAAAAAAAGGAGAAUCGUAGAAAAACAGCGUUACCCUAAUGACGCUCUGGAAAACACUGUGCCUCCUAGUAACCUUUCAUUCAUUUCUUUAUCCCUUUCGUUUUCUACACCUUUCUCGAUCGCUAAUUAACACUUUCUCGCACCUGUAGUGUUAGCAAAGCAGGUGAGUGUUCGUAUUUUUGUGGAGAUGCUGCUUUUACCGGGUAUACUUAGAAGAAAAACAGUUAAUAUAUAUAUAGACCGUACUAAUAGUCUUUUUCAACGAUAGCGGGACCAGUUUGUACAGAGGACAUGUGGAGGAAGCAAAGUUAGAGGAGAAGGGAGGAAGGAGGAUUGGAUGAAGUGGAAAGAGGAAGAGAAGGAUAAGAAGGAAGAACGAAGAUAUGAAAAUGAAGAUAAAAAAUAAAGAAUAGGAGGAGGAGGAGGAAGAGAAGAUGAUGGUGGUAAUGAUAAUCAGGGGAACAGCAAAAAGAAUGAGGAUAGAAAGAAUGUACUGGAUGAAGAAGGAGGAGGAGGAGGAGGAAGAAGAAAGAGGGAAAGGCAGUGGGGGUGAGGAUGCCUGCGGGAGGUAAUGAUGAAGAAAUGAAUGCUGUAUGCUGUAUCAAUCGCCUCUUCUGGUAUGUGUUUGUGAAGUGUGAUGGAGAAUAGAAGAGGUGGUCGUGAAGAGUGAAAGAAAAUGGGGGAUACUAUUGUGAAAGAAAAUGGGGGAUGCUGUUGUGAAAGAAUAUGGGGGAUACUGUUGCGUUCGUGAUGUGCAUUCCCUCGUGUCUCCUGUCUUUGUGAGGAUAAUAAAUAUGACUGUUAAGAAAAGUGAGAAAAGAAAACAAAAAGAAACUAAUAAUGUAAAGAAAAUAUGUGAUGGAAAGGUGUCUGAAGGUAUUGGUGCUCCUCAGUGUUAAAAUUUCACUAUAAAACGAAGAAAAAAUAGUAACUGACUAUUUUAAUCUUGAAGGCUGUCAAAAUAUGUUACUUCCAAAUGACAUAGUGGUCAAAUUUCACUGCAAAGGAGGUCAAGUAAGGUCAAAUUUCACUACUCCACGGAUAACAACAAAAAACAAACAUUCAGAAGUAGAUAUUUGAAAUUAUUUGUCAAGAAGUUACUAUUAUUCUUCACCCAAAAGUAUUAUAGAAAAAGUGGUCAAAUCUCACUGCAAAGGAGGUCAAGUAAGGUCAAAUUUCACUACUCCACGGAUAACAACAAAAAACAAACAUUCAGAAGUAGAUAUUUGAAAUUAUUUGUCAAGAAGUUACUAUUAUUCUUCACCCAAAAGUAUGAUUGAAAAAGUGUUCAAAUUUCACUGCAAAAAAGGUCGUCAAGUCAAAUUUCACUGCUAUUCACGGAUAACAACAAAAAUCAAACAUUCAGAAGCAGCUCUUUAAAAAUGUUUGUCAAGAUGUUACUAAUUAUUCUCCACCCAAAGGUAUUAUAGACAGUAUUAUUCUAAGACGCGACAACACUAAUUACUUCUCACCUGGGAAAGAAUGAAGCGCACCUGAAAUGACGGGGCACUAAAGAGGCCAUACACAUCUAGGUAUUAUAAUCGAUAUGCGGGCCAUUGCAAAGCUACCUGCCACGCACAUAUAUACACGGGUGGAGCAAAAACAACUCCCCGUCACUCACUCACACGCAGGUAAAGACGGACAGGUGACGCGAGCUUGCACCGGAACGUGACGGGUGCGACUGACAUACGAGCUGCCUGGUUUUUCUAGUGUAUAACUCCUUUUUUACGUCACGAUGCAUUCUAGAGCAGUCGACGCACCAGGGAAAGCUAUGACAUUAGAGGAGAUGAAGGUAUAAAUGAGAUGUAAUAUUUUCCUUUGCAUUCAGUAUACGUGAAGGUUGUGUAUAUUUUUUCUUGUGGUUAGUGACAAUCAAAGAAAUCUAAAGCGUGUGUGCGUGUGUAUUUAUUUUGUGGAUUAGAGGAAAGAAACGUGGAAAAAAAACCUCGUAGUAAUUUAAAAUGUAUAUGUCAGUGUGUGUCAGAGUGUGUGUGUGUGUGUCAGAGUGUGUGUGUGUGUGUGUGUGUGUGUGUGUGUGUGUGUGUGUGUGUGUGUUGCGUUUUAGUGUUACUUUAAAGCUGAUGACGAUGACGAUAAUGAUAAUGAUGAUGAUGAUAAUCAUAGAUGAUGAUGACGAUGAUAAUUAUAGAUGAUGAUGACGAAGGUGUACAUAGGCCCUCACCAAGCUGUCCCCUUAAUUAACUCACACCUGCCCUUACCUGCGCCCCACCUGCUUGCCACACCUCACUAUAACGAUGUAACUGUUCGCCUAUUAAAGAGUACGCCCCUGUGGGGAGAACAUACAUACACACGCACAUGCAUACAUACAUACAUACAUACAUACAUAUAUAUUACGCACAUACAUAUAGGUAUGCAUUAAUAUAUAUGCAGACAGUCAUACAUACAUACAUACAUAGAAUAAACAUACUACGGUUAGAUAAUUAUGUAUGUAUAUUAAUUUCUCUUUUCAUUCAUUCAUUUAUACAUGUUCAAGGUAUUCAGUAUGGCAUGAAAUGUGUAUAUGAACUACUACUACUACUACUACUACUACUUCUACUAUUACCACUACUACUACUACUACUUCUACUACUACAAUUACUACUACUACCACUGCUCUUACUUUUACUAUUUAUAAUAUCACUCCUACUUUUCUUCUUUUUAUUUACUUGAAUGAACAAAUUUUUCAUUCAUUAACAUUUCAAUGCAAAACUUCACUCAAAACGCAACUACUCACAAACGAUUCGCCGACAGGUCAUCAAAUUUUAACACGUCUGUCUAAUUUAUCCUCAGACUGGUUAAUUAACUGACUGCAUUACCUAACCCGUUCUAAUACCAAUGACUCAAUCUGGGACUAAAGAGAGCACGGACCCUUAAGGACCAAUUCUAUGAGGUGACUAAAUCAAAGGUCCUCUCACAACGGAUCUCACACAAAUACCACCAAAGAAGAAGUUACUCACAAUCAUUGUUCAUCAAUAUCUCCAAUUCAAAUUCUAAGAGGUGACUUAAACAAAGGUUCUCUCACUAAGGACCCACCACCUAUACUUCCAAAUUAAAGAUAGAUAUCAUUCUGUAAAUACGAAGGUCAGUAUUAUAUCAGUUAUCAUACAUUAUAUCAAUUAUCAAAUUCACCGUGAUUCUAAAUUCCACGUUGACACUCACUCGGUUCACUCUUCUAGGAGAGGCUCGCGGCCCCGACUCCUGCUUCCUAUAGUAAAUGAAACGCUUGUGAGUGCACGCCGCUGUCCCUGUGUAGCUCGGCACGAUGGUCCGCUUCUCGGGGUCACAAAUGUGCGGGGAACGGUUGUACUGCGACGAGUGAAAGGAAGAAUAACCGGCGAUGCUUGAAGCGUUUUGCCCAACCAACAAAUAAUGGAAUAAAACAAGGAUAUAAAAUGAAGUACUGAAAAGAACAACUAUCUUUGCUAUUUCAUUUGAUUUCUUCCCAACUCAUGAAUGGAUAAUGGAAGGAACAGUAGAGGAUGUAACUAGAUGAACCGCAUGAAAACCAGUAACUAUUCUUUCCUCGCAAAUCACACAAAAAAUAUAGAAUGUACUUUAAAGUUUUCAAAUCUCGUAGUUAAAAAAGUUAUACAUAGUUUUGUAUCAAUAAUUAAAAAAGAUAAACAACAGAAAGAAUAAUUAGUUAAACUCCUGUAGACCGACUGUUGGAAAAAAAUAUAUAUCCUUAUCCUAGCCAAGCAAAGGAAGUAGAGUAAAAGAAAAAUAUAUAUAACUAAUAUGUACUAUUAGUAUCAGACCGCAUCGACACUUUCCUGGAACUUCGGAAACAACAACUUUCAAUCCCGAAAAGUAACAAAAUUGUGCCUUGAGCUGUCACGUCACCGCCCUUCACUUCACUGCUCUUCACCUCAUUUCACUUCACUUCAUUUCUCUUUCCUUCGCUUCCCUUCCUUCCCUGCUUUUCACUUCAUUUCCCUUUCCUUCGCUUCCCUUCCUUCCCUGCUUUUCACCUUACUUCCCUUUCCUUCGCUUCCCUUCCCUCACUGCUUUUCACUUCACUUCCCUUUCCUUCGCUUCCCUUCCCUCCCUGCUUCUCACCUUACUUCCCUUCCUUUCCCUUCACUUCACUGCUCUUCACCUCAUUUCCCUUCCUUUCUCUUCCUUUCCCUAUCCUUCUCUUCCCUUCACUUCACUGCUCUUCACCUCACUCCCCUUCCCUUCACUUCACUUCACUUCCCUUCACUGUCUGACAAUCCUUUUCUGACCUUUUUCUGACCCUUUCUCUGACCUUCAAUUCGCCUACCUCCAAAAUACAUCAACAUACAAACAAUAACAAAAAGAAAAAGACACUUUGCACGAAUGAAAAAAAAAAAGAUGUACAAAAUAAAUGUCCCCCAGACACACACACACACACACACACACACACACACACACACACACACACACACACACACACACACACACA